UUUUUCUAAAUAAAAAAGAAACAAACAUUCCCGGUAGAGAUGUCAACAGGUCGGAUUCGAGGCGGAUUUUUAAAAAUCCGAACCCGAACCCGAACCCGACUCCAAACCCGAGACCCGAACCCGAAUCCAAACCCGACGGAUUUUAAAAAUCCAUAUCCAAACCCGAACCUGACCAAAAAUUCGAAACCCGAAUCCGAACCCGAAAAUUUGAACCCGAAACACUUAUUUCUUUUUUCAAUAUUUCAAAAUAUAUUAUAUUAAAUCUAAAAUUUUAAAAUACAAAUUCAAAUGUAAUAUCAAAUAUAUAUAUAUAUAUAUAUAAAAUAAAAAAUAAAUUCGGGCUCGGGUUCUAGUCUGGUACCAUCAAAAUCCAUAUACGAAUCCAUAUCCGUUGGGUUUCUAUUUUUGAUAUCCAUAUUCAAAUCCAUAUCCAUUUAGCAUCGAAUAUAUCUGUUUUAUUCGGAUUCGGGUUCGGAUNAUAUAUAUAUAUAUAUAUAUAUAUAUAUAUAUAUAUAUAAAAUACAAAAUAAAUUUGGGUUCGGGUCGGGUUCAGAUCGGGUACAAUCAAAAUCUAUAUCCGAAUCCAUAUCCGUCGGGUUUCUAUUUUUUAUAUCCAUAUCCGAAUUAAUUUCUAUAUCCGUCGGAUAUAUCCAUUUUAUUCGAAUUCGGAUUCGAAUAAAAUUUCGGAUAUUCAUAUCCAUCGACUUCCCUAAUUCCCGGACGCU
This 725-nucleotide long non-coding RNA is filed under the name Ananas comosus (pineapple). RNAcentral describes it as "long non-coding RNA (ACOM_LNC025093)". The record is from RNAcentral. Lineage: Eukaryota; Viridiplantae; Streptophyta; Magnoliopsida; Poales; Bromeliaceae.